GACGUAGGGCGCGAGCGUUUGUCCGGAUUUAUUGGGCGUAAAGAGCUCGUAGGCGGCUUGUCGCGUCGUGUGUGAAAUCUCAGGGCUCAACUCUGACAUUGCAUACGAUACGGGCAGGCUUGAGUUCGGUAGGGGAGACUGGAAUUCCUGGUGUAGCGGUGAAAUGCGCAGAUAUCAGGAGGAACACCGAUGGCGAAGGCAGGUCUCUGGGCAUUAACUGACGCUGAGGAGCGAAAGCAUGGGGAGCGAACAGG
Molecule: ribosomal RNA, 254 nt
Filed under: uncultured bacterium
Lineage: Bacteria
Description: partial 16S ribosomal RNA
Rfam family: Bacterial small subunit ribosomal RNA
Source: RNAcentral